RNAcentral lists this non-coding RNA (104 nucleotides) under Methylobacterium symbioticum. RNAcentral describes it as "Glycine riboswitch aptamer". It matches the Rfam family "Glycine riboswitch aptamer". Rfam says of the family: This family represents the bacterial glycine riboswitch. The record is from Rfam by way of RNAcentral. Lineage: Bacteria; Pseudomonadati; Pseudomonadota; Alphaproteobacteria; Hyphomicrobiales; Methylobacteriaceae.
GUUGGACAAUCUGGAGAGAGGCGCCUCGAGGCGUCCACCGAAGGAGAAACCUCGCGUUCGACACGCGGGGGAAGCUCUCAGGUAACCGCGACAGAUGGGGGCAG